UUAAGUAAGAAAGGGCGUACGGUGGAUGCCUAGGCACUUGAAACUGAAGAAGGACGCAACAAACGGCGAAACGCGGCGGGGAGCUGUACGUAAGCAAAGAUCCGCCGGUAUCCGAAUGGGGGAACCCGGCAUGCGUAAUAGCAUGUCAUCCGCAGAUGAACAAAUAGUCUGCGAGAGAGGUACCCGGGGAACUGAAACAUCUAAGUACCCGGAGGAAAAGAAAACAACAGUGAUUCCCUGAGUAGCGGCGAGCGAAAGGGGAGGAGCCCAAACCAGACCGAGGUCUGGGGUUGAAGGACCGCGAUACGGCAAGAAUCAUGGUAGGAGAACGGCAUUGAAAGGCCGACCGGAGAGGGUGCAAGUCCCGUAUCCGAAACCGUGAGGAAGCCCAGCGGGAUCCUGAGUACGGCGAGACACGAGAAAUCUUGUCGGAAGCAGGCGGGACCAUCCGUCAAGGCUAAAUAUAAGCAAGUGACCGAUAGUGAACCAGUACCGUGAGGGAAAGGUGAAAAGAACCGCGGGAGCGGAGUGAAACAGAACCUGAAACCGUAUGCUUACAAGAAGUCAGAGCACGUUAAGGUGUGAUGGCGUGCCUUUUGUAGAAUGAACCGGCGAGUUAUGUUAUCGUGCGAGGUUAAGCAGGAGAUGCGGAGCCGAAGCGAAAGCGAGUCUUAAGAGGGCGGCAGUACGAUGACAUAGACCCGAAACCGUGUGAUCUAGCCAUGACCAGGUUGAAGUUCAGGUGAAACUGAAUGGAGGACCGAACCGACCCCCGUUGAAAAGUUGGCGGAUGAGUUGUGGCUAGGGGAGAAAUUCCAAUCGAACACGGAUAUAGCUGGUUCUCCCCGAAAUAGCUUUAGGGCUAGCGUCGAGGAUGAGUCUUGUGGAGGUAGAGCACUGAAUGUACGAUGGCCCCAUCCCGGGGUACUGAGUAUAAUCAAACUCCGAAUGCCAUGAGAUAUUCCCGGCAGUCAGACCGUGGGUGAUAAGGUCCAUGGUCAAAAGGGAAACAGCCCAGACCGCCAGUUAAGGUCCCAAAAUGUAUGCUAAGUGGAAAAGGAUGUGGGGAUGCACAGACAACUAGGAGGUUGGCUCAGAAGCAGCCAUCCUUCAAAGAGUGCGUAACAGCUCACUAGUCGAGUGACCCUGCGCCGAAAAUGUACCGGGGCUAAGCAUACUACCGAAGCUGCGGAUUUGUAGUAAUACAAGUGGUAGGGGAGCGUUCCAUGCACGUGGAAGCCAUACCGAAAGGAGUGGUGGAGAGCAUGGAAGUGAGAAUGCCGGUGUGAGUAGCGAGAUGCAGGUGAGAAUCCUGCACACCGAUAGCCCAAGGAUUCCAGGGGAAGGUUCGUCCGCCCUGGGUAAGUCGGGACCUAAGGCGAGGCCGAAAGGCGUAGUCGAUGGAAAACAGGCAGAUAUUCCUGUACCCGCGAUGGAAAUGAAGGAAUGACGGAGAAGGCUAGCAUGAGCCACUUAUUGGAUUGUGGUCGAAGCGAAUAGCAGGUGCAUAGUAAAAUGCGUGCACGGGAUGUAAAACGUGAUAGGUAAGCGAAACCUUUGGGGAGUAGCGAAGCAUGCGAGGCCAGCUUCCAGGAAAAGUUUCUAGUGCUGAUUCCAUAGCGGCCCGUACCAAAACCGACACAGGUGGGCAAGGAGAGUAUCCUGAGGUGAGCGAGAGAACUGUUGCCAAGGAACUCGGCAAAAUGACUCCGUAAGUUAGCGAGAAGGAGUGCUUAUGAAAGUAAGCCGCAGUGAAGAGGCCCAAGCGACUGUUUAACUAAAACACAGCUCUCUGCGAAGUCGCAAGACGAAGUAUAGGGGGUGACGCCUGCCCGGUGCUGGAAGGUUAAGAGGAUUUGUCAGUUUCGACGAAGCAAUGAAUUGAAGCCCCAGUGAACGGCGGCCGUAACUAUAACGGUCCUAAGGUAGCGAAAUUCCUUGUCAGGUAAGUUCUGACCCGCACGAAAGGCGUAACGAUUUGGGCGCUGUCUCGGCAGCAGACUCGGUGAAAUCUUAGUACCUGUGAAAAUGCAGGUUACCCGCAACUAGACGGAAAGACCCCAUGGAGCUUUACUGCAGCCUGAUAUUGGAUUUUGAUCAGAGAUGUACAGGAUAGGUGGGAGACGAAGAAGGAUGCACGCCAGUGUAUCUGGAGUCGACGUUGGGAUACCACUCUUGUCUGAUUGGAGUUCUAACCUGCGUCCAUGAAGCUGGACGGGGGACCGUGUCAGGCAGGCAGUUUGACUGGGGCGGUCGCCUCCCAAAGAGUAACGGAGGCGCCCAAAGGUACGCUCAGAUUGGACGGAAAUCAAUCGGCGAGUGCAAAUGCAGAAGCGUGCUUGACUGUGAGACAAACAGGUCGAACAGGGACGAAAGUCGGGAUUAGUGAUCCGGCGGUGCCGAAUGGAAGGGCCGUCGCUCAACGGAUAAAAGCUACCCUGGGGAUAACAGGCUGAUCUCGCCCAAGAGUUCACAUCGACGGCGAGGUUUGGCACCUCGAUGUCGGCUCAUCGCAUCCUGGAGCUGAAUUCGGUUCCAAGGGUUGGGCUGUCCGCCCAUUAAAGCGGUACGCGAGCUGGGUUCAGAACGUCGUGAGACAGUUCGGUCCCUAUCUGUUGUGGGCGUAGGAGAUUUGAGGAGAGCUGUCCUUAGUACGAGAGGACCGGGAUGGACCUACCGCUGGUGCACCGGUUGUUGUGCCAACAGCAUAGCCGGGUAGCUAAGUAGGGAAGGGAUAAGCGCUGAAAGCAUCUAAGCGCGAAGCCUACUCCAAGAUGAGAUCUCCCAUACGCAAGUAGUAAGACCCCUUGAAGACGACGAGGUAGAUAGGUCAGGGAUGGAAGCGCAGCGAUGCGUGGAGUUGACUGAUACUAAUAGGUCGAGGACUUAAUC
RNAcentral lists this ribosomal RNA (2892 nucleotides) under Amedibacterium intestinale. Its description in RNAcentral is "Absiella sp. 9CBEGH2 23S ribosomal RNA". It matches the Rfam family "Bacterial large subunit ribosomal RNA". Lineage: Bacteria; Bacillati; Bacillota; Erysipelotrichia; Erysipelotrichales; Erysipelotrichaceae. The record is from RNAcentral.